Molecule: long non-coding RNA, 953 nt
Filed under: Marmota monax (woodchuck)
Lineage: Eukaryota; Metazoa; Chordata; Mammalia; Rodentia; Sciuridae
Source: RNAcentral
ACAAACCAUGAGCUCAUCGGAAGAGACUCAGAAAGUAAUCCAAGGUAACUUCACUCUAACAAAUACUGAGUGGACAGACGGAGUUCAGUUGGGGUAAACUUUCUUUGGACAACUUCAAUCCAAUCAGUAGUUUACAAAGAAAAUAAGCACUGACAUCAUGAAAUGAAAAAUCAAAAGUGAUAAAUAUGACCUACAUAUUUUGGGGAGAGCUAUAUUAUUUGCCAUGAAUCAUAGUGAGGAAUUGAUUCAUGUUUGUAGUUGAUAAUUCACAAUCUGCUUUUAAAAAUGUACUGGUUCUUUAGGUCAUAUUUUUGCUGCUCCACUUUUCUAAAAACAAAACUGUGGAAAUUCAUGAUUAUGUAUGCAAAUCCAUGUUUCUUUUUCUUAGCAUUUUUCCUAAUCUUUAUAAAUUGUAAUUCAAAAAUUUAGUUCUUUCCAUCAUCUAGCAUAGAUAAGAAUGUGUGUGUGUGUGUGUGUGUGUGUAGUCAAUGGGUACUAAGUUAAAAUUAGAAGCAAGGACAUCUGAGUGUGGUGGCACAGUAGAAUGACUAUAUGUAACAGUAAGGUACUACGCAUUUCAAAAAGCUCGAAGAAAGGAUUUGAAAGUUUUUACCAUAAAGAAACGAUAAACAAUUGAUAAGAUAGACAUGUUUAAUCUGAUUUAAACAUCAUACAAUAUAUACAAGCAUCAGAACAUUACAUGGCUACCCCUUUAAUGUGUAUAAUUUUAAUGUAUCUGUUAAAAGAAAUUUUGAAAAGAUCGAGAGGAGUUAUUUUGGAUAGCAAAACUACUGGUAUAUUUUGCAGGUUUUCCAAUAUAAACACACAAUUCCUUUUUAAUCAGCACAAAACAAUAACUGUCACUUAAAAAAUCAGUAAGAGGCUGUGAAUUAGAGUAAAAUUAUCUUAAGAAGCAUUUGUCUUCCUUAUGUGUCGUAUUGCUUUUUCUGCUU